Molecule: transfer RNA, 72 nt
Organism: Paramecium tetraurelia
Lineage: Eukaryota; Ciliophora; Oligohymenophorea; Peniculida; Parameciidae
Rfam family: tRNA
About the family: Transfer RNA (tRNA) molecules are approximately 80 nucleotides in length. Their secondary structure includes four short double-helical elements and three loops (D, anti-codon, and T loops). Further hydrogen bonds mediate the characteristic L-shaped molecular structure. tRNAs have two regions of fundamental functional importance: the anti-codon, which is responsible for specific mRNA codon recognition, and the 3' end, to which the tRNAs corresponding amino acid is attached (by aminoacyl-tRNA synthetases). tRNAs cope with the degeneracy of the genetic code in two manners: having more than one tRNA (with a specific anti-codon) for a particular amino acid; and 'wobble' base-pairing, i.e. permitting non-standard base-pairing at the 3rd anti-codon position.
Source: Rfam
UCCGCGUUAGUAUAGUGGUUAGUAUUCAAGCCUGUCACGUUUGAGGCCCGGGUUCAAUUCCCGGACGCGGAG